GUCUAAACUAAUAUUAUAAAGAGCCUGUUUAGGUAAUUUUAAGUAUAUUCUAAGUAAAUAUAUUUGAUUUCUCAGACAGUUUCCACUUCCCAGUUUCUUUCCCCAGGAUGAUAUGCAGUCUACAGGAGGAGGUUUGGUAUGACCAGGCUGGCAGGGCUGGAGAGACGUAGUAAAAGGGACCACUGACCUCAUGCUUGUCCUCGGGCUUGCGCUGGCUCUCACACUCUGACGGGGGCUCACCUUCUUGCAUCUGCAACUGUUGGUAGAACUCUCGAUCUGGAUUCUUUCAGUUUGGUGGGGCCUGCUCUCUAUCACUGAGCGAGCCAGCCUCACAGGGCCUCCUUCCACCCAGCCCUCGCUGCAGCCCAUACCAGCCUUCUCCAGGGCCUCCCUUGUCCUGCCACACAGGCCUAUUGCUCCCCCAGCUUCGCAUCAGUUCCACGCAAGAACCUCAGAGGUCCCUGAGGCUCCCACUCACACCCCACCAGCUCACCUCCUGACCACACUGUGCUCUUUGCUCUAUGUCACUCUGAACUAUCUCAAACAUUUCCCUGUGCCUGAGCCUUAACGGGAAAAGAGAAAAAUCAAGAGACCUCUCAUUCCCAACAUUUAUGUAUUAAACAUGGAAAGAUGCUAAACAGUAGCUAAAGAGUUUUUUGUUAUGAUCUGUUACCAUAACAAAAACAACAACAAAAAUGUUCCAGAACUCAAAGGUGCAGCCCUAACUCUGUUCCUUCCUCCCUUCUAAGAUCAAGAGGUCAUUUGCCCACAUUCAUUGAAUCCACUCAAAUCAUGCAUGACAGAUGCUGGUCCAGGCCUGGCAUCUCAGAGAUGAAAAGCAGCCAGACCAUCAUAACAGAAGGGCCUCUCUAACAGAAAGAAACAUCAUCGCAGACCUCCUGUGGUUGCAGUCACCUUGGAUUUUACUGUAUAUUGAACAUUCAUCCUCAGUGCCUGACACAGUGCUCAUGCAGAUAGUAGUGUACUCCUUGAUUAACAAAGCUUAAAGAACAUGAGGUCAGCUUAACAAAGUUCUCUGUUAAAGAAAUUAAGAUGAAAAGGGGAAAUAAAAAUUGAGCUGGGAUUGAAUGAAAGGUAAGA
This 1101-nucleotide long non-coding RNA is filed under the name Felis catus (domestic cat). Its description in RNAcentral is "lncRNA (ENSFCAG00000051598.1)". The record is from RNAcentral. Lineage: Eukaryota; Metazoa; Chordata; Mammalia; Carnivora; Felidae.